UGGGGAAUUUUGGACAAUGGGCGCAAGCCUGAUCCAGCAAUGCCGCGUGCAGGAUGAAGGCCUUCGGGUUGUAAACUGCUUUUGUACGGAGCGAAACGGCUUCUUCUAAUACAGGGAGCUAAUGACGGUACCGUAAGAAUAAGCACCGGCUAACUACGUGCCAGCAGCCGCGGUAAUACGUAGGGUGCGAGCGUUAAUCGGAAUUACUGGGCGUAAAGCGUGCGCAGGCGGUUAUAUAAGACAGAUGUGAAAUCCCCGGGCUCAACCUGGGACCUGCAUUUGUGACUGUAUAGCUAGAGUACGGUAGAGGGGGAUGGAAUUCCGCGUGUAGCAGUGAAAUGCGUAGAUAUGCGGAGGAACACCGAUGGCGAAGGCAAUCCCCUGGACCUGUACUGACGCUCAUGCACGAAAGCGUGGGGAGCAAACAGGAUUAGAUACCCCCGUAGUCCCUGAGCGGGCUGGCAAGGCGCAU
Molecule: ribosomal RNA, 472 nt
Filed under: uncultured bacterium
Lineage: Bacteria
Description: bacterial SSU rRNA
Rfam family: Bacterial small subunit ribosomal RNA
Source: RNAcentral